This 425-nucleotide unclassified non-coding RNA is filed under the name soil metagenome. RNAcentral's name for it is "partial contains 5.8S ribosomal RNA, internal transcribed spacer 2, and large subunit ribosomal RNA". The stretch from base 1 to 120 matches the Rfam family "5.8S ribosomal RNA", at positions 35 to 154 of the family's 154-position model. The record is from RNAcentral.
GAUGAAGAACGUAGCGAAAUGCGAUAAGUAAUGUGAAUUGCAGAAUUCAGUGAAUCAUCGAAUCUUUGAACGCACCUUGCGCUCCUUGGUAUUCCAAGGAGCAUGCCUGUUUGAGUAUCAUUAAAUUAUCAACUGUGCCAAUUUGGUUACAGAUUGGAUGUGGGAGAUUCUUUUUGCAGGCCUUUGACUUCUCUUUGAGAAAAAAAAUAAAAGGUCGGCUCUCCUGAAAUGUAUUAGCAGUGCCUUUGUUGGUUCAUUAGGUGUGAUAAAUUGUCUACAUCUUCGCAUGAUACCUUCAUUUGUAAAGGUCAUAUUGCUCCUAAAUUGUCUUUGAUUGGACGCAAAACAUAUAUAAUGUUUGACAAACUUGAUCUCAAAUCAGGCAGGACUACCCGCUGAACUUAAGCAUAUCAAUAAGCGGAGGA